Molecule: small nucleolar RNA, 149 nt
Organism: Rattus norvegicus (Norway rat)
Lineage: Eukaryota; Metazoa; Chordata; Mammalia; Rodentia; Muridae
Product: small nucleolar RNA SNORA17
Source: Ensembl
CCUGCCCCUACAUGCCUUGCAGGUGUGCUGCUGUGUGCUAUACAGGUUAGGGGUAGACAGGACAGAGGCUUUGUCUACGCUCAGUGGAGGCUAUGUCCACCCUCAGUGUUCUGACUGAUGAAUAUCUAAACCAUUAGUAGCCUCACAUU